Molecule: ribosomal RNA, 253 nt
Filed under: uncultured bacterium
Lineage: Bacteria
Description: partial 16S ribosomal RNA
Rfam family: Bacterial small subunit ribosomal RNA
Source: RNAcentral
UACGUAGGGUGCGAGCGUUGUCCGGAAUUAUUGGGCGUAAAGGGCUCGUAGGCGGUUUGUCGCGUCGGGAGUGAAAACCUUGGGCUUAACUCAGGGCUUGCUUUCGAUACGGGCAGACUAGAGGUAUGCAGGGGAGAACGGAAUUCCUGGUGUAGCGGUGAAAUGCGCAGAUAUCAGGAGGAACACCAGUGGCGAAGGCGACUACCUGGCCUGUUCUUGACGCUGAGGCGCGAAAGCUAGGGGAGCAAACGGG